RNAcentral lists this ribosomal RNA (164 nucleotides) under Calathea crotalifera. Its description in RNAcentral is "5.8S ribosomal RNA". It matches the Rfam family "5.8S ribosomal RNA". From Rfam's summary of the family: 5.8S ribosomal RNA (5.8S rRNA) is a component of the large subunit of the eukaryotic ribosome. Lineage: Eukaryota; Viridiplantae; Streptophyta; Magnoliopsida; Zingiberales; Marantaceae. The record is from RNAcentral.
CGAAUGACUCUCGGCAACGGAUAUCUCGGCCCUCGCAUCGAUGAAGAACGUAGCGAAAUGCGAUACGUGGUGUGAAUUGCAGAAUCCCGCGAACCAUUGAGUCUUUGAACGCAAGUUGCGCCCGAGGCCUUUCGGCCGAGGGCACGCCUGCCUGGGCGUCACGU